This 254-nucleotide ribosomal RNA is filed under the name uncultured bacterium. RNAcentral's name for it is "partial 16S ribosomal RNA". It matches the Rfam family "Bacterial small subunit ribosomal RNA", at positions 524 to 776 of the family's 1533-position model. The record is from RNAcentral.
UACGGGGGGGGCAAGCGUUGUUCGGAAUUACUGGGCGUAAAGGGCGCGUAGGCGGCCACGACAAGUCACUUGUGAAAUCUCCGGGCUUAACUCGGAACGGUCAAGUGAUACUGUCGGGCUAGAGUGCAGAAGGGGCAACUGGAAUUCUCGGUGUAGCGGUGAAAUGCGUAGAUAUCGAGAGGAACACCUGCGGCGAAGGCGGGUUGCUGGGCUGAUACUGACGCUGAGGCGCGAAAGCCAGGGGAGCGAACGGG